RNAcentral lists this ribosomal RNA (271 nucleotides) under uncultured bacterium. RNAcentral's name for it is "partial 16S ribosomal RNA". It matches the Rfam family "Bacterial small subunit ribosomal RNA", at positions 29 to 329 of the family's 1533-position model. The record is from RNAcentral.
AACGAACGCUGGCGGCAUGCCUAACACAUGCAAGUCGAACGAGACCUUCGGGUCUAGUGGCGCACGGGUGCGUAACGCGUGGGAAUCUGCCCUUGGGUUCGGAAUAACAGUUAGAAAUGACUGCUAAUACCGGAUAAUGUCUUCGGACCAAAGAUUUAUCGCCCAGGGAUGAGCCCGCGUAGGAUUAGCUAGUUGGUGAGGUAAAGGCUCACCAAGGCGACGAUCCUUAGCUGGUCUGAGAGGAUGAUCAGCACACUGGACUGAGACACGG